AUUGAACGCUGGCGGCAGGCCUAACACAUGCAAGUCGAGCGGAUGAAGGGAGCUUGCUCCUGGAUUCAGCGGCGGACGGGUGAGUAAUGCCUAGGAAUCUGCCUGGUAGUGGGGGAUAACGUCCGGAAACGGGCGCUAAUACCGCAUACGUCCUGAGGGAGAAAGUGGGGGAUCUUCGGACCUCACGCUAUCAGAUGAGCCUAGGUCGGAUUAGCUAGUUGGUGGGGUAAAGGCCUACCAAGGCGACGAUCCGUAACUGGUCUGAGAGGAUGAUCAGUCACACUGGAACUGAGACACGGUCCGGACUCCUACGGGAGGCAGCAGUGGGGAAUAUUGGACAAUGGGCGAAAGCCUGAUCCAGCCAUGCCGCGUGUGUGAAGAAGGUCUUCGGAUUGUAAAGCACUUUAAGUUGGGAGGAAGGGCAGUAAGUUAAUACCUUGCUGUUUUGGCGUUACCAACAGAAUAAGCACCGGCUAACUUCGUG
Molecule: ribosomal RNA, 484 nt
Filed under: uncultured bacterium
Lineage: Bacteria
Description: partial 16S ribosomal RNA
Rfam family: Bacterial small subunit ribosomal RNA
Source: RNAcentral